RNAcentral lists this ribosomal RNA (1104 nucleotides) under Listeria monocytogenes. RNAcentral describes it as "partial 23S ribosomal RNA". It matches the Rfam family "Bacterial large subunit ribosomal RNA", at positions 1 to 1097 of the family's 2925-position model. Lineage: Bacteria; Bacillati; Bacillota; Bacilli; Caryophanales; Listeriaceae. The record is from RNAcentral.
UUGGUUAAGUUAGAAAGGGCGCACGGUGGAUGCCUUGGCACUAGGAGCCGAAGAAGGACGGGACUAACACCGAUAUGCUUUGGGGAGCUGUACGUAAGCGUUGAUCCAGAGAUUUCCGAAUGGGGGAACCCACUAUCUUUAGUCGGAUAGUAUCCUUACGUGAAUACAUAGCGUAAGGAAGGCAGACCCAGGGAACUGAAACAUCUAAGUACCUGGAGGAAGAGAAAGAAAAAUCGAUUUCCUGAGUAGCGGCGAGCGAAACGGAAAGAGCCCAAACCAAGAAGCUUGCUUCUUGGGGUUGUAGGACACUCUAUACGGAGUUACAAAAGAAAGUUAUAAAUGAAGCGGUCUGGAAAGGCCCGCCAAAGACGGUAACAGCCCGGUAGUUGAAAUGGCUUUCCCUCCAGAGUGGAUCCUGAGUACGGCGGAACACGUGAAAUUCCGUCGGAAUCCGGGAGGACCAUCUCCCAAGGCUAAAUACUCCCUAGUGACCGAUAGUGAACCAGUACCGUGAGGGAAAGGUGAAAAGCACCCCGGAAGGGGAGUGAAACAGUUCCUGAAACCGUGUGCCUACAAGUAGUUAGAGCCCGUUAAUGGGUGAUAGCGUGCCUUUUGUAGAAUGAACCGGCGAGUUACGAUUUGUUGCAAGGUUAAGCGGAAAAAGCGGAGCCGUAGCGAAAGCGAGUCUGAAUAGGGCGCAUAAGUAACAGGUCGUAGACCCGAAACCAGGUGAUCUACCCAUGUCCAGGAUGAAGGUAAGGUAAUACUUACUGGAGGUCCGAACCCACGCACGUUGAAAAGUGCGGGGAUGAGGUGUGGGUAGCGGAGAAAUUCCAAUCGAACUUGGAGAUAGCUGGUUCUCUCCGAAAUAGCUUUAGGGCUAGCCUCGAGGUAAAGAGUCAUGGAGGUAGAGCACUGUUUGGACUAGGGGCCCUUCUCGGGUUACCGAAUUCAGAUAAACUCCGAAUGCCAUGUACUUAUACUCGGGAGUCAGACUGCGAGUGAUAAGAUCCGUAGUCGAAAGGGAAACAGCCCAGACCACCAGUUAAGGUCCCCAAAUAUAUGUUAAGUGGAAAAGGAUGUGGGGUUGCUUAGACAACCAGG